GAGACUCUGUGCGCGUGCAUAUCAAUAAGCGGAGGAAAAGAAACUAACAAGGAUUCCCUUAGUAACGGCGAGUGAAGCGGGAAGAGCUCAGAAUUUGAAAUCUUCAAGGUUCUACCUUGACGAAUUGUAGUUUAUAGAAGUGUUUUCUGUUAGUGGAGUGGCAAAAGUUCUUUGGAAUAGGACAUCAUAGAGGGUGAGAAUCCCGUAUUUGGUCAUUCCUCCUAGCGUUGUGAUACACUUUCAACGAGUCGGAUUGUUUGGGAAUGCAGUCCAAAAUGGGUGGUAAAUUUCAUCUAAAGCUAAAUAUUGGCGAGAGACCGAUAGCGAACAAGUACCGUGAGGGAAAGAUGAAAAGAACUUUGAAAAGAGAGUUAAACAGUACGUGAAAUUGUCAAAAGGGAAGCGUUUGACACCAGUGUUGUUUAGUUGAAAAUCAAUUCAAUAGUUUUUGAUUCUAAGUAGUAUUGACUUCAUCAGCUUGCUGCUUUCUUCUCAGAAAUUAUUGAAUGCACUUUUCAGUUAACAAGUCAACAUCAAUUUCUUUUGUUGUAAAAGGGUAAGAGGAAGGUGGCUUGCGCUUCGGCUCAAGUGUUUAUAGCCUUUUAUCUCUGCAAUCGGAGAGAUGGAGGUCUGCAGCGUAGAUCCUUCGGGGUUAGAUACAUUGGUGCUAAGCUAUAGCCUUGUAUAGACAACUUGUUGACUAUGCUCAGUCACGUAGCUUACUCGCUGAUGCUAUUUUACCUACGCUUAGGAUGUUGACAGCAGUAUAGACUGU
RNAcentral lists this ribosomal RNA (775 nucleotides) under uncultured Neocallimastigales. Its description in RNAcentral is "partial large subunit ribosomal RNA". It matches the Rfam family "Eukaryotic large subunit ribosomal RNA", at positions 23 to 638 of the family's 3401-position model. Lineage: Eukaryota; Fungi; Neocallimastigomycota; Neocallimastigomycetes; Neocallimastigales. The record is from RNAcentral.